AAAAAAGCGAUGACCGAGGAAGUAGUUUUGUCAUCCGCGCUUUUCAGGGAGUGUCCAUCCAGACUGUAAGUGGACGCAGGCGCCGACCAAAUGAAGUUCCCUCGUGAGCCGCAGAGCUGAAUCACAGUAGGCUUUGCCGGGAUUCCUCCGUUAACGGGAUAGGAUAUGUUGUAUCCGAAAAAUGAGUGCGGCGCAGCCAAAUCUGUGCCGAAUGUGGGUGGUACCGCGGAAUGUUUGUCUUUCGUCCCUAAC
This 252-nucleotide non-coding RNA is filed under the name Butyricicoccus pullicaecorum. RNAcentral's name for it is "T-box sequence". It matches the Rfam family "T-box leader". From Rfam's summary of the family: Uncharged tRNA acts as the effector for transcription antitermination of genes in the T-box leader family. T-boxes are found upstream of many aminoacyl-tRNA synthetase genes and some amino acid biosynthetic genes usually in Gram-positive bacteria. Lineage: Bacteria; Bacillati; Bacillota; Clostridia; Eubacteriales; Butyricicoccaceae. The record is from RNAcentral.